Molecule: ribosomal RNA, 510 nt
Filed under: uncultured fungus
Lineage: Eukaryota; Fungi
Description: eukaryotic LSU rRNA
Rfam family: 5.8S ribosomal RNA (bases 145-298)
Source: RNAcentral
CGGGGUAGACCUCCCACCCUGUGUUAUUUACGCUUUGUUGCUUUGGCAGGCCGCCUUCGGGCUCCCGGCUUCGGCUGGGGCGUGCCUGCCAGAGGACCCAAACUCUGAAUGUUAAUGUCGUCUGAGUACUAUAUAAUAAGUUAAAACUUUCAACAACGGAUCUCUUGGUUCUGGCAUCGAUGAAGAACGCAGCGAAAUGCGAUAAGUAAUGUGAAUUGCAGAAUUCAGUGAAUCAUCGAAUCUUUGAACGCACAUUGCGCCCCUUGGUAUUCCGGGGGGCAUGCCUGUUCGAGCGUCAUUUCAACCCUCAAGCACUGCUUGGUCUUGGGCCCUGCCGGCAACGGCUGGCCUUAAAAUCAGUGGCGGCGCCCUCGAGCUCUACGCGUAGUAAUAAAACCCUCGCGUGUGAGUCUCGGCGGCUGCUGGCCAGCAACCCCCAAUUUUUUAUGGUUGACCUCGGAUCAGGUAGGGAUACCCGCUGAACCUAAGCAUAUCAAUAAGCGGAGGAAA